GAUGAACGCUGGCGGCGUGCCUAAUACAUGCAAGUCGAACGAACAGACGAGGAUCUUGCUCCGCUGACGUUAGCGGCGGACGGGUGAGUAACACGUGUAUAACCCACCUAUAAUACUGGGAUAACUUCGGGAAACGGGAGCUUAUAGCGGAUAAGAUAUUGCACCGCAGGGGUGAAUAGUGAAAUACGGUGUUUCUGUCUCGUAUAGAUGCAUCCGGGCCGCAUUAGGUAGUUGGUAAGGUAACGGCUUACCAAGGCAACGAUGCGUAUCCGAGCUGAGAGAGUGGUCGCCGACACUGGAGCUGAGACACCGUCAAGGCUACUACGAGACGCCGCAGUCGCGAAUCUGCCGCAGUGGGGGAGAGCCUGACAGAGUGGGGCCGCGCCAGUGAUGAAGGUCUUGGGUUCGUAAAACUCUCUUAUUAGGGAUAAACCACUGUGUAAGUAGAUGUACCCGGAUUGACGGUAACUAGUAAGAAAGCCACGGCUAACUACGUG
Molecule: ribosomal RNA, 497 nt
Filed under: uncultured bacterium
Lineage: Bacteria
Description: partial 16S ribosomal RNA
Rfam family: Bacterial small subunit ribosomal RNA
Source: RNAcentral